Molecule: long non-coding RNA, 1320 nt
Organism: Humulus lupulus (European hop)
Lineage: Eukaryota; Viridiplantae; Streptophyta; Magnoliopsida; Rosales; Cannabaceae
Exons: 8
Source: RefSeq, a predicted model, not a curated record
UUCAGAUUAAUCUUGGAAUAUACAUGCAAGACAGUAUCUCAGAACUGUCAGUGUUGGUUGACCGUUCAGUUGGGGGAUCCAGUUUAGUGGAUGGUCAGAUAGAGCUUAUGCUCCACAGGAGAUUACUUCAUGAUGAUUCAAGAGGAGUUGGUGAGGUGUUGAAUGAAACAGUUUGUCUUCAUGAUAAAUGCGAGGGUUUAACUACCCAUUUUGCAAGGUCUGAUUCUAAUCUGGCUUGAGCCCUGGGUGAGCACGUUACAUUUUGGUUCAUGCGGCCAGAAACUGCACAGGGCAUAUUUGUUAACUUCAAAGACUUGUACUAUUACAAUGGGAACAAGCUUCCUUUUGUUGCUGCUCAAAUUGGCCAGGCUUUCAGAAAUGAGAAUCAAUCAUGGUUGGGUUCCCUUAUCAACACUAUAGUUGGAAAUUUGAAACUCUCAAUUUCAAAUAUUCAUAUCAGAUACGAGGACAGUGAAAGCAAUCCUGGUCACCCAUUUGCAGCAGGUGUGACCUUGGAGAAACUCUUAGCUUCCUUCUGAGUGGGUCCAGAUUGAUGUAGGCAUUGGAUCUUCAUCAUUUGCAAAAUCACAGGACCCGGAAUGACUCAUUGAUAGUGGAUGUUUGCCAGGUGAGUGGGAAUUAAAGUCUUCUUUCUUGAAAGCUAUAUUUCUUCUUUCCUUGAACCAUAAGCAUUUAUUUUUUCCUGUACUGGUACAAAAGUAUUUUCUUCUCUUACAAUGUUUAUAUGUUAAUGGUCAGGGUCAAUAUAAGUCGACACUGGUUUGCCCAGCAUGUGGAAAGAUUUCAAUCACUUUUGAUCCCUUCUUGUAUUUGUCGUUGCCGCUACCUUCAACUACAACUCGGCAAAUAACUGUGACUGUGUUUUACGGCGAUGGAAGUGGUCUUCCUAUGCUAUACACUGUUAGUUUGCUAAAGCAAGGUUGUUGUAAAGAUCUUAGUGAACAACUAAGUAAUGCUUGUUGCUUGUUGCUUGAAUGCUGAUGAGAUUCUUCUGCUUGCAGAGGUUUAUGAACAUAAGAUUUUUUGAUAUUUGGAAAACCCCUCAGAGAUAUUGGCUCCAAUUAAGGAGGAUGACCACUUAUAGACUUUCUAAAAACGUCGUGGGAAGAUCCAGAGUUGAAAUAAUUCAUCGACCACAUGAAAAGUAAGCUUGCAUCCCUAUCCUUAUGUAAUUGGUAAAUAGCACUGGUAAACAUGUGAUGUACAAACUGGUGUUGCCAAUCCAUCUAUUGAAAAAUAGCUUUAACUAAGUAAUUUCAGAAGGGGAUUAUAGUAUCAAUUAAAAUAAUUAUUGGCUAC